This 396-nucleotide ribosomal RNA is filed under the name Rhizobium sp. R-45666. RNAcentral's name for it is "bacterial SSU rRNA". It matches the Rfam family "Bacterial small subunit ribosomal RNA", at positions 24 to 450 of the family's 1533-position model. Lineage: Bacteria; Pseudomonadati; Pseudomonadota; Alphaproteobacteria; Hyphomicrobiales; Rhizobiaceae. The record is from RNAcentral.
UCAGAACGAACGCUGGCGGCAGGCUUAACACAUGCAAGUCGAGCGCCCCGCAAGGGGAGCGGCAGACGGGUGAGUAACGCGUGGGAAUCUACCCUUGACUACGGAAUAACGCAGGGAAACUUGUGCUAAUACCGUAUGUGUCCUUCGGGAGAAAGAUUUAUCGGUCAAGGAUGAGCCCGCGUUGGAUUAGCUAGUUGGUGGGGUAAAGGCCUACCAAGGCGACGAUCCAUAGCUGGUCUGAGAGGAUGAUCAGCCACAUUGGGACUGAGACACGGCCCAAACUCCUACGGGAGGCAGCAGUGGGGAAUAUUGGACAAUGGGCGCAAGCCUGAUCCAGCCAUGCCGCGUGAGUGAUGAAGGCCCUAGGGUUGUAAAGCUCUUUCACCGGAGAAGAUA